Molecule: long non-coding RNA, 771 nt
Filed under: Elaeis guineensis (African oil palm)
Lineage: Eukaryota; Viridiplantae; Streptophyta; Magnoliopsida; Arecales; Arecaceae
Description: long non-coding RNA (EGUI_LNC004094)
Source: RNAcentral
AAAACAAGUUUUGACUAGUUGCCACAAAUUUUCUCAAUUUCUAGGCUCAACCAAACUGUGGUGUUGUAAUUUUGUGUUGGUCCCAUGGUAUUCAGGAUAAUCUCAAUGGUUAACAGGGGUUGCAAAGCCCAACUUGAAAGUAGUAAAUUCUAUGAGCCAUGGCAGGUAGAUGGGUGAACGAGUGAGACAGCAAAAGGGAGAGACCUUCUACCAGGAACAAUAUUUUGCAGAUGCAGAGCAAAAACACAAUAGACUGCCCAAAGAUAUUGUAGAAAAAUCUCUUCCUCUUGUUUGUGCGCGUUUGGGUUGGUUUUAGUGGAAAGGUUUUCGACAAAGAGAUUCCUUUCUACCAAUAAGAAAAAAGAAAAAAAAAGGAGACGCCUUUUAAUGAGAUGCUCGCUCUAAAGACAAGACAUACCAAAGAAGCUGCUUACCAGACCUACCUUGUACAUGAUGUUAUGCUUUUCUGAAUUAUAUUCAAUGUCGUACACCAUGCUUGAUUCCCUCAGAUUUAUUUCACUAAAAGAGCAUGGUGAGUGAAUAAUGGUUUAUAAGGUGGACUGUAGGUAGUUCAGAAAAGGCUUUGGUGAUUAUGGUAAGGUUAUAACAUCAGGCUUAUAUAUACCUGAAACUUGUUCUCUAAUGUCAGUCUGCUUUUUCUGCUUCUCUCAGGCAUGUCUUUUUACGAAUCUCCUGCAAAGAAGGCUCAUGCAUCUGAACUCUGUUUCACAUUAGGUGAAACUUCCAAAAUUAAUUACUUUACACCAAAAC